GUGCUCACUCUGACAGCACAUAUGCUAAAAUAGGGAAGAUCCAGAUAAGAUUCACAUGGCCUCUGUGCAAGAGUUUUGUAUGAUUAAAAAGAAAAAAAAAAUCAAAACUUU
Molecule: small nuclear RNA, 111 nt
Filed under: Otolemur garnettii (small-eared galago)
Lineage: Eukaryota; Metazoa; Chordata; Mammalia; Primates; Galagidae
Source: RNAcentral